Non-coding RNA from Prunus avium (sweet cherry), 261 nucleotides. The record is from RefSeq and is a predicted model, not a curated record. NCBI's taxonomy places the organism in Eukaryota, Viridiplantae, Streptophyta, Magnoliopsida, Rosales, Rosaceae.
CCUUCGGGUGACCCAUUGUCUCCCACAUUCAAUCACCAACAAAUUCUCAUUUCAAUCUAUUCCCUCGAUAAUGACCACAGCUAAUUAAGUCCUCCUUCCACUUGUAAUCUCUCAUCCCCUUGACCCCCACUCUAAAAAACCCACAGUGCUCUUGGUCAAUUUUGCUAGUUUUCAUUCUGUUCGAGGUUUUGGUCUUUUUGUGUUCCAAAUCACCCUAUACCCAUUUGUAGAAAGGCUUCUUGGUCCUCUCGCAUUGGAGGG